AUUGAACGCUGGCGGCAUGCCUUACACAUGCAAGUCGAACGGCAGCACGGGUGCUUGCACCUGGUGGCGAGUGGCGAACGGGUGAGUAAUACAUCGGAACGUACCUUAUCGUGGGGGAUAACGCAGCGAAAGUUGCGCUAAUACCGCAUACGCCCUGAGGGGGAAAGCGGGGGACCGUAAGGUCUCGCGCGAUUAGAGCGGCCGAUGUCUGAUUAGCUUGUUAGUGAGGUAAAAGCUCACCAAGGCGAUGAUCAGUAGCUGGUCUGAGAGGACGAUCAGCCACACUGGGACUGAGACACGGCCCAGACUCCUACGGGAGGCAGCAGUGGGGAAUUUUGGACAAUGGGGGCAACCCUGAUCCAGCAAUGCCGCGUGAGUGAAGAAGGCCUUCGGGUUGUAAAGCUCUUUUGUCAGGGAAGAAACAGCAGCUCUAACACAGUCUGCGAAUGACGGUACCUGAAGAAUAAGCACCGGCUAACUACGUGCCAGCCGCCGCAGUAA
Molecule: ribosomal RNA, 501 nt
Filed under: uncultured bacterium
Lineage: Bacteria
Description: partial 16S ribosomal RNA
Rfam family: Bacterial small subunit ribosomal RNA
Source: RNAcentral